UCCGCCAGCGUCAAAAACUAGAUUCUAAAUUGGGACCUCGAUAAUGGUGCCUAAGAGAAAAACCUUUAACUUGUAAUAUAUGUCAAACUACUUUGAAAACAUAAAUGAACCUCCUAAGAGUCAUAAUUAUUUAAAAGAAAUAAACACUCAAACAUGUGCUUUAACACAUGUCCGAAACUUAUAGCUGCUCUGCGCAUCCUUGGGAAACGACUAUUCCUACCCUUCAAAUCCAUUGGUAUCUUCCUCCUAUUUGGGUAUGUAACAUACCAUAAUCCUACUUGAUUAGAGACUAAUCGGCGAUUACUAAAAAUAAACUAAGAUCGGAAAACUUACCUACUUCCAAAUCGGAACUUUUCUUGGGAUUCCUUAGCGAAACAAAAUUAGAACGCUUCUAGGGUGAGAAAUUUUGAAUGGGAGUCAAGGGUUUAUAUAGAGAGGUAAGGCGAUUUACGAAGCUGCUACGCCACCAGGUCCGCCACUGAUCAUGUCUCUUCCGACCACAUGUGUUGCUGAGUCACGUCCAUGGACACCAAGCAGCGUCCAUUGAUCGAUAGCCAUGUGUCAUUGCCCUCGGACAUGAG
This is a long non-coding RNA of Arabidopsis thaliana (thale cress), 581 nucleotides long. RefSeq annotates it as other RNA. The transcript has a single exon. Lineage: Eukaryota; Viridiplantae; Streptophyta; Magnoliopsida; Brassicales; Brassicaceae. The record is from RefSeq.